GUACGUUUCCCAGUAGUACUAGAUCGGGAGUCUCGGCAGGUUGCCUCGAGUCGCUCAUGUCCAUGGGCGACUCGGCCACUAUUCGGGCUGUACGUUUUCCACUGGCUGAGUCCCUGGCUGUGCCGAUGGCUGAGCUGCAGUCUCCCUCAUGAGGAAUGGCUUAAUAUGGACAAUACUCGUGCCCUUCAGCACAUGGCCUGUCGACUCGUUGCGGAGCACCACCUUCUGUCCGGACAGUUCAACUAUCACAUAACCAGAGAGCCAGUCUGGAGUCAUGCGAUCCCCUUUUCGACCACCUAGCUUCUUGGGAUUGGCUUUCAUGACUCUCUGUCCAACAUGGAAAGUAUUUCCUCAUGGUAGCACGAGAGUAUAGGCUACUCACCACAGGUUGGGCACUGGCUUCUUUUUGGCCUCCGUGCUUUGACGUGAGUGUAACGUAGAGCAGCAAUGGAUAGGCAGCUAGCUACGUGUCAUGUCUAGACAUGCAGUUACACCAGAGUUUACUUAUUAUAGCUUAGGACGAUUUAAUAUAGCCGAGGAGACGCGCUGAGGUCUAUUAAAUCUCAAUCUGUUUUCAAGGGUGAACGGAGUUCGUAACUGUGAACGAAUAUUGUGAAUCAAAGAGCUGUAACCAAAGAUGAAUAAACGAAAGAAAUAUACCGACA
Long non-coding RNA from Priapulus caudatus, 665 nucleotides. RefSeq lists it as uncharacterized. NCBI's taxonomy places the organism in Eukaryota, Metazoa, Priapulida, Priapulimorpha, Priapulimorphida, Priapulidae. The record is from RefSeq and is a predicted model, not a curated record. The transcript has 3 exons.